UGCAUGUAUAUUUUUUUCUGCAUGUUAUUUGGAUGUGAGGAGCUGUCAUUAUUAUUUUAGGAACAAAUAUGAAACAAUCUCUGGAAAAUGGAAUUUGAUUUUGAUUCAACAACAGGAGAAUUCUACUGUUUUUCUCCAGCAGCUCCACGAUAAAAGGGAACCCUGAGCAGAACACAUGCACAAACUCAUGCCAUACCCUAAGGGACAAGGUUCCCCACAUCUACUUGGAAAUCUUUGGGAUGCUCAAUGAUUAGCUCUUUGGAACUGAGAGAUGAGAUGAGGCCUGGAAAACUUCCCCCAGUACAGUCAAGUUCCUGUUGACUAAUUCUGUGACCACCAGUGACAGUCUUUGAGUCCGUGAGGCAGAGUUGCGGCAGCACAGGCUUUGCUUGGAGUUGGAUGGUUCGCACCCUGCUUGGCAUGGUUUCUAAGAGACAUCCUCUGAGUGGAUGAGGGGAGAAUCCAGCAGGCCUCUAGUCACACUGGUACGAAUAAUUUUGAUGGUGGGAGAUGGUGGUGUGAGUGGAGGGUCUGUGGGUGUGAUGAACACCUGAAUGACUCAUGGGGAGAGGGAUGUUAACAGGACAGAUGCCACUUGCUGUAAUUUUCAUAUGAUGUGUUUGGAAAGCCCCCUGCAUGGAGGAAAGAUAGAUCGAGGUCCCUUUCAAAAGUGCUCCAGAUGAAGAGGCAUUUCCACUUUCAGAAACCCUGAGAAUCCCCGAAAGAACCUCUAACUAGUC
This is a long non-coding RNA of Homo sapiens (human), 740 nucleotides long. Ensembl annotates it as long intergenic non-protein coding RNA 158. The record is from Ensembl. Lineage: Eukaryota; Metazoa; Chordata; Mammalia; Primates; Hominidae.